UACAGAGGGGGCAAGCGUUGUUCGGAAUUACUGGGCGUAAAGGGCGCGUAGGCGGCCUGUUAAGUCGAACGUGAAAUCCCCGGGCUCAACCCGGGAACUGCGUCCGAUACUGGCAGGCUUGAAUCCGGGAGAGGGAUGCGGAAUUCCAGGUGUAGCGGUGAAAUGCGUAGAUAUCAGGAGGAACACCGAUGGCGAAGGCAGCUUACUGGGCCAAAACUGACGCUGAGGAGCGAAAGCGUGGGGAGCGAACAGG
Molecule: ribosomal RNA, 253 nt
Filed under: uncultured bacterium
Lineage: Bacteria
Description: partial 16S ribosomal RNA
Rfam family: Bacterial small subunit ribosomal RNA
Source: RNAcentral